CAAGGUGUAGCUCAGGCGAGGAGAGCGGCUGGUUUGGAACCAGCAGGCCGCCGGUUCGAGUCCGGCCACCUUGACCA
RNAcentral lists this transfer RNA (77 nucleotides) under Alphaproteobacteria bacterium. RNAcentral describes it as "tRNA-Pro". It matches the Rfam family "tRNA". Rfam says of the family: Transfer RNA (tRNA) molecules are approximately 80 nucleotides in length. Their secondary structure includes four short double-helical elements and three loops (D, anti-codon, and T loops). Lineage: Bacteria; Pseudomonadati; Pseudomonadota; Alphaproteobacteria. The record is from RNAcentral.